This 306-nucleotide ribosomal RNA is filed under the name uncultured bacterium. Its description in RNAcentral is "bacterial SSU rRNA". It matches the Rfam family "Bacterial small subunit ribosomal RNA", at positions 28 to 310 of the family's 1533-position model. The record is from RNAcentral.
GACGAACGCUGGCGGCGUGCUUAACACAUGCAAGUCGAACGAGACGAUUUAGAAGCUUGCUUUUAUUGAGUCGAGUGGCAAACGGGUGAGUAACGCGUAGACAACCUGCCGCAAAGAUGGGGACAACAGUCCGAAAGGACUGCUAAUACCGAAUGUUGUAUCUCCUCCGCAUGGAAGAGAUAUUAAAGAUGGCCUCUACUUGUAAAGCUAUCGCUUUGCGAUGGGUCUGCGUCUGAUUAGCUAGUUGGUGGGCAACGGCCUUACCAAGUCGACGAUCAGUAGCCGGACUGAGAGGUUGACCGGCCA